GAUGAACGCUAGCUACAGGCUUAACACAUGCAAGUCGAGGGGCAGCAUGGUCUUAGCUUGCUAAGGCUGAUGGCGACCGGCGCACGGGUGAGUAACACGUAUCCAACCUGCCGUCUACUCUUGGCCAGCCUUCUGAAAGGAAGAUUAAUCCAGGAUGGGAUCAUGAGUUCACAUGUCCGCAUGAUUAAAGGUAUUUUCCGGUAGACGAUGGGGAUGCGUUCCAUUAGAUAGUAGGCGGGGUAACGGCCCACCUAGUCAACGAUGGAUAGGGGUUCUGAGAGGAAGGUCCCCCACAUUGGAACUGAGACACGGUCCAAACUCCUACGGGAGGCAGCAGUGAGGAAUAUUGGUCAAUGGGCGAUGGCCUGAACCAGCCAAGUAGCGUGAAGGAUGACUGCCCUAUGGGUUGUAAACUUCUUUUAUAAAGGAAUAAAGUCGGGUAUGCAUACCCGUUUGCAUGUA
This 462-nucleotide ribosomal RNA is filed under the name uncultured bacterium. RNAcentral's name for it is "bacterial SSU rRNA". It matches the Rfam family "Bacterial small subunit ribosomal RNA", at positions 28 to 477 of the family's 1533-position model. The record is from RNAcentral.